CAUUUUCUGCAUUAAAACAGACAUAAACCAAUAUAUCUCAACUCAGCAUUGCAAUCCAUCCAUACCCAAAAAUAGAACAUUCAACAUAUGUGCUUCACAUUUGUAUAUUACGAACCUAGUAAUAAAUCAUUUCCACAAGUAAGAUAUGUGCAACAUACUAGCUACAUAUGAAAAGUUCAUCCUAAUUUAUCAGAUGUACUUUGUAGCCUUUCAGGUCAAUACAAUAUAAAGUCAAAAAAAACUUGUAUGGUCUUCGGAACAGGUGAAGCAAAUGAUUUCACUAGGUGACUUGUCCAGCCUUGUAGCAACGUUGCCAACCUGAAGAGGAAAUUAAGUCAAUUGACAUGUACAUGUACUGUAGAGGAUUCAUGCAGAAAAAAAAAGUGCACACAAUUUCAGAAAUUGAAAGGAAGGUCGUAAGGAAAUUCGGGAAUGACCAAAAGCUAAGGGAAGUAAGACUGCCUGAGAACUCUAUGCAGAUAUCUCAUAAUUGGCACAACAAAAAUUUGACUUGAGCUAUGGGCUAUGCUUAUUCAGAGUCCUUUUAGUUUGUGUUUCACUUUCCAGGUUAGUUAAACAUGCUUAGGAAAGUUGAGUAAUAUCGUAGAGUCCAAACAGUAAAGGACUAGAAGUGCAUGUGAGCACUAUCUAGUGCAUGUGAGCACUAUCUAAAGUCCCUAGCUGGCCAUGUACCUGUGGUCAAGUUUUUGUUCAGUGAUUGAAAAAUAAAAUAAAUGAACGUUUCCAUUUACCAAGUAAAAUUAUCAAAAGAACUUUACAAAACCUUGCAUGAAACUACAAGCAAAUAGGUCAUUUUAUUAUAUCACCGAUAGCAGACCCUACGAAUGGCAACUCAAACAAGUACGUACAUGUUACAGACAGAGAGGCUAUUCUAUAUUAGAACAACUAGUCAUGAAAACAAUAAGAUAAGAUGCAAAAUAUUAGCCAAAUCCUCUGCUGCAGGUUAAUGGAAGAGAAAAAGAAAUUUAUUGUGCUAUAUUUCUCGAUUGUCUGGACGCAAUAAGUGAUACAUUUUGGCUGCAAACCUUACCUCCUACAGUGAUAACACCUCCAACGCCUUGAUUAAAAUAGAGUGAGUAUUUCAGAGAAUUAUCAGUCGCGUGAUGAGAAGCAAAGCACAUUAUAAUCAGUCAGUACAAAUGCAGCUUUCAUACACAGUACAUGAAAGUCUUAGUUCCCAUUAGUGAAAAACAGACUGUAUUAACAAAUAUUACACUGAAGGUUGAACAAAAGUACAUGACAAUACUACUUUUACUUUAUAUUCUGCAAGAACAUUUAAUUAUAGUUUUAAAUUGUUGCAUAAUCACGUUCAAGAGGAAGAGGAAAGAUAAGGAUGCAAUCUUUAUGCAAGAUAAAAGAUGCUCUUCUCCUGAAAAUUACUUCUCAAAUUCUCCAUGGCCAAAUUAAAGUCACUGCAUAAAAGGAGGUUAUUUUUUCCGAAAACUACUACAAUAAGUGAUGGCCAUUCCACUGCUAGUGUCCUCUCUAAGUAAUAUAUGGAGUACGAACGACAUCGCCGCAACUUUCAUUUCUGUGGAUCUGUCAAUUAUUUCAACUUUUCAAGGAGAAUUGUUCAAUAUACUACCAAAAAUAUGCACACACAUAAAUAGACAAUGGUACAGUCUGCCUGAUAAUUUGAAAGAGCACCAUUAUUUAGUAUCAUCCUAACAUAUUGAGAUAUGAAUUAGUACUAAGAAGUUCUCUGCAUAUAUAAAGGAACAUAUUAAAAUGGAUUAUUCCUUCUACUUUUUCGAAGGGGUAAGAUGGAUUAUUCCUUAAAAUGUAAAGAAGUAUCUAAUUUCGAACCGUUUGCUACAUAUUCCUCCCAGAAGAGUGCAGUACAAAAUCUCAGAUCAAAAAACAGAUUUAAAUAAAGCUAAACAAAUUGAUGAUUUUCUCAAAAUUUUCUCCAGGAAAACAACACACCUCUUGCUCAUCAUGCAAAUGUAGUUGUCUACGAGAAUGGAAUACUCGUAGCAGUCGACAUGCCCGUUGUCUUCCCGCUAUGACCAUUCGCCCGCCAACCUGCUGCAGGACUGUAGCUGCACGGUGCUGCAAUUUCCAUAUCCGUACAUGUUUAUAUGUUGUAAAAUAGCAAAAACAGAUAAGACGAUCUAUCCGGAAUCUUUAAAUGUGAAGAUUUAGCACCUACUGAACAUAGAUAGCGCCUACAUCUGUAAGCUUCAAGAAAACAAAAUAGGUAUCCAAAUUAGACUGCAUGACAUUUUGAGCCAUAAUUAUGGAAAAAUCAAAAGUAUAUUGUUGAACAAAUGAUCCAAUUCCGAAUUUGCAAGGAAAGAGAUAAAUUCAAUGUUGCUCGAUGCACAUAAUGCAAUAACGGGUUCAGGAGCCAACCAUUCAAAAUUAACUACCCAAUAUGUCAAGAAUUGAGGAAAGGAUUAGAGGAUUCAGAGACAGGGGGGAGUGGGUCCUGGCUGCCCUUCCUCAC
This 2470-nucleotide long non-coding RNA is filed under the name Triticum aestivum (bread wheat). RNAcentral's name for it is "long non-coding RNA (TAES_LNC028229)". The record is from RNAcentral. Lineage: Eukaryota; Viridiplantae; Streptophyta; Magnoliopsida; Poales; Poaceae.